Molecule: ribosomal RNA, 712 nt
Filed under: uncultured bacterium
Lineage: Bacteria
Description: bacterial SSU rRNA
Rfam family: Bacterial small subunit ribosomal RNA
Source: RNAcentral
UGCAGUCGAACGGUGAUAGCAAUAUCAUAGUGGCGCACGGGUGCGUAACACGUAUGCAACCUACCUUAUACUGAGGGAUAGCCUUUCGAAAGGGAGAUUAAUACCUCAUAACACAUUGAACUGGCAUCAGUUUAUUGUUAAAGAUUUAUUGGUAUAAGAUGGGCAUGCGUCCAAUUAGUUAGUUGGCGAGGUAACGGCUCACCAAGACGAUGAUUGGUAGGGGAACUGAGAGGUUAAUCCCCCACACUGGCACUGAGAUACGGGCCAGACUCCUACGGGAGGCAGCAGUAGGGAAUAUUGGGCAAUGGAGGCAACUCUGACCCAGCCAUGCCGCGUGCAGGAAGAAGGCGUUAUGCGUUGUAAACUGCUUUUAUAUAGGAAGAAAUAGACCUUGCGAGGUAAGUUGACGGUACUAUAUGAAUAAGCACCGGCUAACUCCGUGCCAGCAGCCGCGGUAAUACGGAGGGUGCAAGCGUUGUCCGGAUUUAUUGGGUUUAAAGGGUGCGUAGGCGGUUUAUUAAGUCAGUGGUGAAAGACGGUCGCUCAACGAUUGCAGUGCCAUUGAUACUGGUAGACUUGAGUGGGAUUGAGGUAGCUGGAAUGGACAGUGUAGCGGUGAAAUGCAUAGAUAUUAUCCAGAACACCAAUUGCGUAGGCAAGUUACUAAGUCUCAACUGACGCUGAGGCACGAAAGUGUGGGUAUCAAACAGGA